AACGUAGGUGGCAAGCGUUAUCCGGAUUCACUGGGCGUAAAGCGCCUGCAGGCGGCUCGGUAAGUGGGAUGUGAAAUCUCCUGGCUCAACUGGGAGGGGUCAUUCCAUACUGUCGGGCUGGAGGGCAGAAGAGGAAAGUGGAAUUCCCGGUGUAGUGGUGAAAUGCGUAGAGAUCGGGAGGAACACCAGUGGCGAAGGCGACUUUCUGGUCUGCUCCUGACGCUCAGAGGCGAAAGCUAGGGGAG
This 245-nucleotide ribosomal RNA is filed under the name uncultured bacterium. Its description in RNAcentral is "partial 16S ribosomal RNA". It matches the Rfam family "Bacterial small subunit ribosomal RNA", at positions 524 to 768 of the family's 1533-position model. The record is from RNAcentral.